GACGAACCGUGCGAACGUUGUUCGGAAUCACUGGGCUUAAAGGGCGCGUAGGCGGGUCAGCAAGUCCGGGGUGAAAUCUUUCGGCUCAACCGGAAAAGUGCCUCGGAUACUGCUGGCCUUGAGGGAGGUAGGGGUUUGUGGAACUUCUGGUGGAGCGGUGAAAUGCGUUGAUAUCAGAAGGAACGCCGGUGGCGAAAGCGACGAACUGGACCUCUUCUGACGCUGAGGCGCGAAAGCUAGGGGAGCAAACGGG
Molecule: ribosomal RNA, 253 nt
Filed under: uncultured bacterium
Lineage: Bacteria
Description: partial 16S ribosomal RNA
Rfam family: Bacterial small subunit ribosomal RNA
Source: RNAcentral